This 2427-nucleotide long non-coding RNA is filed under the name Phocoena sinus (vaquita). RNAcentral describes it as "lncRNA (ENSPSNG00000021276.1)". Lineage: Eukaryota; Metazoa; Chordata; Mammalia; Artiodactyla; Phocoenidae. The record is from RNAcentral.
GUGCCAAGGCCUCAGGGAGCCAGACGGCUGCUGGCAUCUAUGGAGAGCAUCAUCUUUGUCAUGUGUGGGCUGUUCGACAUUGGAGGGACCCUGAAGCACUGUGGCCUCAUCUUUCUCUCUAAUUCCCUCCCUCUUCCCUGCACCCCAAAGUUUAUCCUGAAGCUACCAUCAGAAAGAGACUUCAAGAGAAUCUUGACACCCCUGAAAGGAAAAGACACCAGUAGAAAGAGGUGCGCAUCUCCUGGACAGCCCCGAGCUUGCAGGGACCAGACCUUCCGACCCCAUCAUCCAAGCUACGUGAACCCUUUGAAUUUGAACUUCUAAAAACGUGGGCACAACCUUUUUCCAGACUUCUCAACGCAGGCUACCCAGGACAAGCUGGGCCAAUAACGGAAAUAUACAGGAACCCCUCUGACCAAGAGACUGUCCCGCUGACAUCAGAACUGCCCAGGGGGAGCACCAUGGAAGGCGACUGUCUGAGCUGCAUGAAGUAUCUGAUGUUUGUAUUCAAUUUCUUCAUAUUUCUGGGUGGGGCCUGCCUGCUGGGCGUCGGCAUCUGGGUCAUGGUGGAGCCCACCGGCUUCCGGGAGAUCGUGGCUGCCAACCCCCUACUCAUCACGGGCGCCUACAUCCUCUUGGCCAUGGGGGGCCUGCUUUUUCUGCUCGGCUUCCUGGGCUGCUGCGGGGCCGUCCGGGAGAACAAGUGUCUGCUGCUGUUGUUCUUCCUGUUCAUCCUGAUCAUCUUCUUGGCGGAGCUCUCGGCGGCCAUCUUGGCCUUCAUCUUCAGGGAGAACCUCACCCGCGAAUUCUUCACCAAGGAGCUCACCAAGCACUACCAGGGCAACAACGACACAGACGUCUUCUCUGCCACCUGGAACUCGGUCAUGAUCACAUUUGGUUGCUGUGGGGUCAACGGGCCUGAAGACUUUAAGUUUGCAUCAGUUUUCCGACUCCUGACUUUGGAUAGUGACGAGGUGCCGGAGGCCUGCUGCCGGAGAGAACCCCAGAGUCGGGACGGGGUCCUGCUGAGCAGGGAGGAAUGCCUCCUGGGAAGGGAUCUGUUCCUGAACAAGCAGGGCUGUUACACGGUGAUCCUCAAUGCCUUCGAAACUUACGUCUACCUGGCCGGAGCCCUCGCCAUAGGGGUGCUGGCCAUCGAGCUUUUUGCCAUGGUCUUUGCCAUGUGCCUCUUCCGGGGCAUCCAGUAGAGGGUGUGGCCUGAAGAUUGAAGACUCACCCCACCCACCACUGCCCAGCACCCAAUGCCCUCCCCUCCCCCUCGCCCCUGCCCUCUUGGCCCCGGGGGAGGAGGUGAGGCCAUGAUGGGUGGCUAGGAAAUGGGGCAGAGGAAAAUAGCUAUUUUUUUAACAAAAAAAAUGAAGGCAAAACUAUGGACUGAUGUAGCCCAUCUGGACUCCGGAACAGGCGCCAUGGGGUUCCCCGCGGGGGCCCGGGCACCUGAACCCAGGACGCAGCCUGCACUAGAGACCAAAGCAACACCAGGACCAGGCCUCCUCCUUGGUGCAGCCAGAUCAAGCAGCCCGGGACCUGCGCCCUCAACUCACAGCUUCAGGAUCUGGUGCCAAGGAAGUAAUAAGGAUUUAGGCAAGAAGGAGGCAAAAGAAAAUUGUGGAGAAAGGUUGGCAAAGCCCGCGGGCGCCGAGGAGACCUGGUCACCAUGUCCUUGAGGGCUUGGAGCCUACGUGGAGUCCCCGGUCCUCCGAGGAUGGAGUUGUCCCUGCCUCAGGCUGGGGCCAAGAGUGGGCCGCAGAUGCUGGAUCCAAGGAUGGCCCAGCCAGUAGGGUCCGUGCUUCCCCAUCUGUUGGAGCAAAUCAUCUGGAAAGCCCAGAGAGGAGCAGUUUCUCAUCCACAGUCACACAGCACAUGCGUGACAGUUCUGAACAAGAACUCCGCCAUCCCCAGGCUGCCUGUCACUCCUUCCAGGGUUCUGUUGGUCCCAGCAGACCUACUGCUCACACCCCUCCCUGGCCUCUGCAUCCUGGUUUCCCCAGAAGAGAGCGGGCAAGCUGGUCAGGAAUUGCCUCUUCCCGGCUCCACAGCUAAGAAAAUUCUGGACUCUGCCCUCCCUGGUCGCCCUGCCACCUCCCCACACUUUUCUCUAAGUCCCAGGAACACACACACAUGCACACACAACACAGCCCGUUUUCUACACUGCCCACUUUUCCUCCACCAACUCCACCAAUUCCCUGGCCCCCAGCGCUGGAAGGAACCCCCAAGAUCAUCUGGUUCUCCUCUCCUCACUCAGAACUGCCACUCAGAUGUCUUCCACAAGAUCCCUGCCAAGACUUCUCCACCUUCUUCUCGCACACCUCCAAGGACGGGGAGCUUACUACCUCCCAAGACAGGCUUCUCUUUGGACCGCUCUGACUUUAACAUCAGCUCAAUACACGGAAGAGGUUCCUGUUU